AAAAAAACAAAGAAAAUCUUUGAUUGGUUGAAACUGGCCUGGCCCCACACCUUUCCCCUCUCCUCCAUCGGUGAACCCACGCCCAAUAUACACCCCGAAUCGGGACCCCGCUUUGAUGGCGGCGGUGUUCCCGAUCGGGGAAACCUAUCACCGCAACCACUCACCGAAGACGCCCCGUUCACCCUUAUGCUUAGUAGAACACAAGGCAAAUUGGGUGGUUCGUCAAGUAGUCAAGGCGAAACGGAUAGUCGGUUGAAAGGAAAGCUUUAAAGGUAACCGUAUGAAAUAAACGGAUGGCUUUCAAGCGUAGGAAUGAACCGAAUACACACUUAAAUCAAAGCUUCCGCAACCAAAUCAAGACUUUUGUUAUAACAGCUUUAGAGUUAUCUUAUCAUACUUUUGUACAUAUGGGUUGUAUGGUUUGAAAGUCAAGUAGGUUGUGUUCUAAUAAUAUGUUUUGAAACGUUAGUGAACGUAUUUUGAAGGGUUUGAAAACUUAUAUGAAUGUCGUUUUGUAAAUACAGCAC
This is a long non-coding RNA of Helianthus annuus (common sunflower), 527 nucleotides long. RefSeq lists it as uncharacterized. The transcript is spliced from 3 exons. Lineage: Eukaryota; Viridiplantae; Streptophyta; Magnoliopsida; Asterales; Asteraceae. The record is from RefSeq and is a predicted model, not a curated record.